CAGUAAGGGAAAGCCGCCGGAGCUGGAGACAGGCUGGAAAGAGCAGGAUUGCGAGACGUCUUUAACCCUUGCUGAUCGGCUGACGCUGCAGCUUCCUGUGGCUUCCUGCUCAUUUCCCGAAUUCCAUUUUGGAAAAUUUAUCCUGAGGAAAUAAAUAAAGAUGUAAACAGAGAAUAACUUACAGAUGUGACGUUUGUGAUCGUUAAAACUGGAAACAGCGCAAGAGUGGACGAUAGGGGAUGAGAGAGCCACACAGCGCAUAGAAGAUGAUCAGUCUGAAGAGAGGGUUUUCAGACAUGCAAUUAACUGCUAUUCACUGUACUUCAUUUUAACUGCAAACUAGCAGGCUCUUUCCCCAGGAAAAAAGAGGUCAACUCGGAGGAGCGGAGUCAUGAUUCUACCUUUUUGGAAAUGACCCUCUAGCAGUUUUAUUGGUCCUAUGAGAUACACAGUAGAUUCACCAGCCAGAGCCAGAUGAGCUGCACAGUUGCCAAAGGGAACUUCAGAUGCCACCAGAGCCUCAGCUC
This 527-nucleotide long non-coding RNA is filed under the name Homo sapiens (human). RNAcentral's name for it is "HSALNT0039366". Lineage: Eukaryota; Metazoa; Chordata; Mammalia; Primates; Hominidae. The record is from RNAcentral.